AUUGAACGCUGGCGGCAGGCCUAACACAUGCAAGUCGAACGAGUGGCGGACGGGUGAGUAAUGUCUGGGAAACUGACUGCUGGAGGGGGAUAACUAAUGGAAACGGUAGCUAAUACCGCAUACCAUCGGAUGUGCCCCGAUGGGAUUAGCUAGUAGGUGGGGUAACGGCUCACCUAGGCGACGAUCCCUAGCUGGUCGGAGAGGAUGACCAGCCACAAUGGAACUGAUACACGGGCCAGACGCCUACGUGAGGCAGCAGUGGGGAAUAUUGCACAAUGGGCGCAAGCCUGAUCCAGCCAUGCCGCGUGUAUGAAGAAGGCCUUCGGGUUGUAAAGUACUUUCAGCGGGGAGGCGUUACCCGCAGAAGAAGCACCGGCUAACUCCGUGCCAGCAGCCGCGGUAAUAC
This 406-nucleotide ribosomal RNA is filed under the name uncultured bacterium. RNAcentral describes it as "partial 16S ribosomal RNA". It matches the Rfam family "Bacterial small subunit ribosomal RNA", at positions 30 to 526 of the family's 1533-position model. The record is from RNAcentral.